GGCCCCAUCGUCUAUCGGUUAGGACGAAAGCUUUUCAAGCUUUAAAGCGGGGUUCGACUCCCCGUGGGGUCA
Molecule: non-coding RNA, 72 nt
Organism: Candidatus Yonathbacteria bacterium
Lineage: Bacteria; Candidatus Yonathiibacteriota
Source: Rfam